Molecule: long non-coding RNA, 890 nt
Organism: Podarcis raffonei (Aeolian wall lizard)
Lineage: Eukaryota; Metazoa; Chordata; Lepidosauria; Squamata; Lacertidae
Exons: 3
Source: RefSeq, a predicted model, not a curated record
CCCCUUAGUUCUGCCAAAACACUGCUCUGGCCAUAUUCCACUGGUGAAACCCAACCAGUCUUCAGAUGCUAUGAGUGUGGCAUGUAGCUAUACAGUCCCAAAUCGGAACCAAUCGGAAGCAGCGCUUUGGUUUCCAAACGUUUUGGAAGUCAAAAAACUUCCGGAACGGAUUCCGUUCGACUUCCAGGCGACAUCUGCCCCAGUUUUUGAUGGUACGAACAAGGGGCUGUCUGGUCUCAGCAGGAAAGCAUCUGUUUGACAUUCCAUAUCAACUUCGAUGAUGCGGUCUGCAAUCUCUUCCAGGCUCUCCAGAGAAUGGUAUCCGGACAGAGUUCUUUCAACUCGAGUGAACUGCAGACAGAAAGGGAACCAGCAUGACGCUCUCCUCCUCCUCAGACUAAUUUGCCUGAGAGAGAUGCGGAGACACACACAGAGAGCCCUUCCGCACCACGUGUGCUGCAUGCAAAAUGAGUUGUGGUGGAAAGGGGGGCAGGUGGAAAGUCACAAACGUAAGAGGCACAGGAAGGAGCAUCAUGGCUCAAAGGCAGAAGUCAGAGCUCCCCAGCAGAUGCUCCCCAGUCCCCUUGGCUUCCUCUUUCCUUUUAGGGCAGCUGCAGUCUGGCUGUGUGUUUGGGUGUUUUGUUUUUUCCUACUUGAAUUAAAAAAAAACCCCAGUAUUGUUACAGACAGAAAGGCAAUGGAACAGAUGAAGUGCCUCACAGGUAAGCUUUCCACCUUACGACAGGAAUCAGGUGGGAUGUGUGAAGAAAAAGAAGUGGUCUUGUGUAGGCUGCCUUGAGGCCUUUUAAAGGGCAUUCUGCAGUUUUAGGCACGAGAAUCCUUCUCAGAGACCUUUCUUUCACCGCGUGCCCGACUCUUAAGACGUCAAA